UGAGUACGAGAUGCUACGGCAUCGAAGCAGUCUAUGUCAUACUUCCAAGAAAAGCUUGCAAUGUCAUAAACAAAUAAUGCCUGUACCAUAACCGACACAGGUGGGUAGGUAGAGUAUACUAAGGGGCGCGAGAUAACUCUCUCUAAGGAACUCGGCAAAAUGACUCCGUAACUUCGGGAGAAGGAGUGCCUUAUUUUUAUAAGGUUGCAAUAACAAGAUCCAAGCAACUGUUUACCAAAAACACAGGUCUCCGCUAAGUCGUAAGACGAUGUAUGGGGGCUGACGCCUGCCCAGUGCCAGAAGGUUAAAGAAGUUGGUUAGCAUUAGCGAAGCUGAUAACUGAAGCCCUGGUGAACGGCGGCCGUAACAAUAACGGUCCUAAGGUAGCGAAAUUCCUUGUCGGGUAAGUUCCGACCCGCACGAAAGGCGUAAUGAUUUGGAUACUGUCUCGGAGAGGGGCUCGGCGAAAUAGACUUGUCUGUGAAGAUGCGGACUACCUGCACCUGGACAGAAAGACCCUAUGAAGCUUUACUGUAACUUGAGAUUGAAAUUGGACUUUAUCUGCGCAGUAUAGGUGGGAGACGUUGAAAAUAUUCUUGCGGGAAUAUUGGAGUCAUCAGUGAGAUACCACUCUUAUAAUGUUAGAUUUCUAACUUUGUAUCAUUAUCUGGUCAAAGAACAGUUUCAGGCGGGCAGUUUGACUGGGGCGGUCGCCUCCCAAACGGUAACGGAGGCGCACAAAGGUUUCCUCUGAACGUGUAGAAAUCGUAUCUAGAGUGUAAAGGCAUAAGGAAGCUUGACUGUGAGACCUACAAGUCGAGCAGGGACGAAAGUCGGUCUUAGUGAUCUGACGGUGCUGAGUGGAAAGGCCGUCACUCAACGGAUAAAAGUUACUCUAAGGAUAACAGGCUGAUCUCCCCCAAGAGUUCACAUCGACGGGGAGGUUUGGCACCUCGAUGUCGGCUCAUCGCAUCCUGGGGCGGUAGUACGUCCCAAGGGUUGGGCUGUUCGCCCAUGUAAGCGGUACGCGAGCUGGGUUCAGAACGUCGUGAGACAGUUCGGUCCAUAUCCGGUGUAGGCGUUAGAAUAUUGAGAGGAGCCUUCUUUAGUACGAGAGGACCGAGAAGGACAUACCUCUGGUGUACCAGUUAUCGUGCCAACGGUAAACGCUGGGUAGCCAUGUAUGGAGAGGAUAACCGCUGAAAGCAUCUAAGUGGGAAGCCCACCUCAAGAUAAG
Molecule: ribosomal RNA, 1237 nt
Filed under: metagenome
Description: bacterial LSU rRNA
Rfam family: Bacterial large subunit ribosomal RNA
Source: RNAcentral